GAGGGUAUAGCUCAGCGGUAGAGUGCAUGCCUAGCAUGCAUAAUGUCCUGGGUUCAAUCCCCAGUACCUCCG
Molecule: transfer RNA, 72 nt
Filed under: Camelus bactrianus (Bactrian camel)
Lineage: Eukaryota; Metazoa; Chordata; Mammalia; Artiodactyla; Camelidae
Also listed under: 2 other names
Rfam family: tRNA
About the family: Transfer RNA (tRNA) molecules are approximately 80 nucleotides in length. Their secondary structure includes four short double-helical elements and three loops (D, anti-codon, and T loops).
Source: Rfam by way of RNAcentral